CGAGAAGAUGGUACAGGAAUCAGUGUGUGAACAUGUCCUGAAGAUCAGGUGGCAUUACAAUUGGCUACAGUAGCAAGUCAAUGUGUGGUGGUAAAGGUGGGGAAACGGUUGUUCCACAUCCCCCCCGUAGCACACACUACCUGUGGGUUUCCCUUCAGUUGGUGUUCUGGGUUGGGGCAGCUGAACCUGAGCUCAUGGCCGUACUGUAUAACACCAUCAUCAUCUGGCAGACCGCUCACAACCACCCGUUCAUCUGUAGCCUCGGGGACACAACUCACCA
Salvelinus fontinalis (brook trout) is the source of this 280-nucleotide long non-coding RNA. RefSeq lists it as uncharacterized. The transcript is spliced from 2 exons. The record is from RefSeq and is a predicted model, not a curated record. NCBI's taxonomy places the organism in Eukaryota, Metazoa, Chordata, Actinopteri, Salmoniformes, Salmonidae.